CAGCAGCCGCGGUAAUACGAAGGGUGCAAGCGUUAAUCGGAAUUACUGGGCGUAAAGCGUGCGUAGGCGGUGAGUUAAGUCUGCUGUGAAAUCCCGGGGCUCAACCUGGGAAUGGCAGUGGAUACUGGCUCGCUAGAGUGUGUCAGAGGAUGGUGGAAUUCCCGGUGUAGCGGUGAAAUGCGUAGAGAUCGGGAAGAACACCAGUGGCGAAGGCGGCUUACUGGCUCAUUCUAGACGCUGAGGUGCGAAAGCGUGGGGAGCAAACAGGAUUAGAUACCCCUGUAGUCCCUGUCUCUUAUAC
This 301-nucleotide ribosomal RNA is filed under the name uncultured bacterium. RNAcentral describes it as "partial 16S ribosomal RNA". It matches the Rfam family "Bacterial small subunit ribosomal RNA", at positions 509 to 807 of the family's 1533-position model. The record is from RNAcentral.